UACGUAGGGUGCGAGCGUUAAUCGGAAUUACUGGGCGUAAAGCGUGCGCAGGCGGUUUUGUAAGCCAGAUGUGAAAUCCCCGGGCUUAACCUGGGAAUGGCAUUUGGGACUGCAAGGCUUGAGUGCGGCAGAGGAGACUGGAAUUCCUGGUGUAGCAGUGAAAUGCGUAGAUAUCAGGAGGAACACCGGUGGCGAAGGCGACAUCCUGGACCAACACUGACGCUGAGGAGCGAAAGCCAGGGGAGCAAACGGG
This 253-nucleotide ribosomal RNA is filed under the name uncultured bacterium. RNAcentral's name for it is "partial 16S ribosomal RNA". It matches the Rfam family "Bacterial small subunit ribosomal RNA", at positions 524 to 776 of the family's 1533-position model. The record is from RNAcentral.